RNAcentral lists this long non-coding RNA (408 nucleotides) under Physcomitrium patens. RNAcentral describes it as "long non-coding RNA (PPAT_LNC009685)". Lineage: Eukaryota; Viridiplantae; Streptophyta; Bryopsida; Funariales; Funariaceae. The record is from RNAcentral.
AUAACUUUGGAUUGACCAUUUUGAAGAAAAUCUAUGACCUUGAGAAUUGAAAUUAUCGAAUUGUAUUGUGUUAAGUGAAGAUAUUGAAUUCUGUGUGCUGAAUUGAGAAAUUGAAUAUAAUAAGUAAGAUGGAGAUCAGUAAUUGAAUAUGUAUAAAUCGCAAGGAGAGUAAGUGGAAGAUGAAGUGAUAAGAAUAUGAAAGUAUUAUUGAAUUGAUAGUUGUAGAAUGGAUUAUAUGUUGAAUUAAGUCAGAAGUAGUAAGCCUUGGUGUUUUGUAGUUUGAUAAUUGAUUUCAGGUAGCUAGAGUAUAGUCAAUUGUGACAAUAAUAGAUCCAAUUCAUAUAACCAAUCUUUUCUCGUGUUUGAACCCACCUCUAUUAAUUCAAUUGCUUUGGUAUAUUAAAGCUU